This 517-nucleotide ribosomal RNA is filed under the name uncultured Staphylococcus sp. Its description in RNAcentral is "partial 16S ribosomal RNA". Lineage: Bacteria; Bacillati; Bacillota; Bacilli; Caryophanales; Staphylococcaceae. The record is from RNAcentral.
CACGUAGUUAGCCGUGGCUUUCUGAUUAGGUACCGUCAAGAUGUGCACAGUUACUUACACAUUUGUUCUUCCCUAAUAACAGAGUUUUGCGAGCCGAAACCCUUCAUCACUCACGCGGCGUUGCUCCGUCAGGCUUUCGCCCAUUGCGGAAGAUUCCCUACUGCUGCCUCCCGUAGGAGUCUGGACCGUGUCUCAGUUCCAGUGUGGCCGAUCACCCUCUCAGGUCGGCUACGUAUCGUCGCCUUGGUAAGCCGUUACCUUACCAACUAGCUAAUACGGCGCGGGUCCAUCUAUAAGUGAUAGCAAAACCAUCUUUCACUUUAGAACCAUGCGGUUCUAAAUGUUAUCCGGUAUUAGCUCCGGUUUCCCGAAGUUAUCCCAGUCUUAUAGGUAGGUUACCCACGUGUUACUCACCCGUCCGCCGCUAACUUCAAAGGAGCAAGCUCCUUAUCUGUUCGCUCGACUUGCAUGUAUUAGGCACGCCGCCAGCGUUCAUCCUGAGCCAGGAUCAAACUCU